UACGUAGGUGGCGAGCGUUGUCCGGAUUUACUGGGCGUAAAGAGCGAGCAGGCGGUCGUUCAAGUCGAGUGUGAAAGCCCCCGGCUUAACUGGGGAGGGUCACUCGAUACUGAUCGACUUGAAGGCAGGAGAGGGAAGCGGAAUUCCCGGUGUAGUGGUGAAAUGCGUAGAUAUCGGGAGGAACACCAGUGGCGAAGGCGGCUUCCUGGCCUGUUCUUGACGCUGAGGCGCGAAAGCUAGGGUAG
RNAcentral lists this ribosomal RNA (245 nucleotides) under uncultured bacterium. RNAcentral's name for it is "partial 16S ribosomal RNA". It matches the Rfam family "Bacterial small subunit ribosomal RNA", at positions 524 to 768 of the family's 1533-position model. The record is from RNAcentral.